This 771-nucleotide unclassified non-coding RNA is filed under the name Hevea brasiliensis (rubber tree). The record is from RNAcentral. Lineage: Eukaryota; Viridiplantae; Streptophyta; Magnoliopsida; Malpighiales; Euphorbiaceae.
AGUAUAUACAAGUAUAGUUUGUCCGCGUUUUUCCUUUUCCUACCUUUUGGUUACUUGAGUAUCGGUGACUGACUUCUUUAUACAAUCCACGAUACCUAUACAAUCAGCUUGAGGUACGGAACACCCUGUAUCAUCUUCAGAAUCAUCGCAUGGAUCUGUGUGUGGAGAACGAAGGCUCCCGUGAGUUUGACAGGCUUUCAUCGUUUUACAAUGCUCUGCUUCGUCAUCUCUAAUGUUCAUGAAUACGUCAUAGAGAUUAUCUAUUUUUGGUCUUCGAGUAUUAGGCUCUCGUGAAGUUUGAAACUCAUCAAAUAAAUAUAAGUCACCUCCCGUGUAGUAGUCCACUGCAAUCUUUGGAGCGGGCAAAUUCUUCAAUUCCUCUCCUUGAUCCUUGAUGAAUUUAUCGUAAGUCUCGUAUGCAUGGCUCUCCACACAUUCAGAGAAAUGAUAUGCCAUUCUCGGGCUCAAAGCAUACAUCAAGACUGUCAUGAAAUAAUAGAAUAUAGCUAUAUGUUGUGCAAGAAAUCGAUCAAACCACCAAGCAUUUCCCCCUAAUUCUUCCAUAAUGAGCAAAUGGUGCAUCUCAUUCCAGCUUUCAGCAAAAUGCACUUUCAUAUAAUCUGCCCUUCUCCACCAGCCAAAGCUCUCAUACAUGUGAAGAACCGAUAUAAAUGCAAAAUAAGGAACCCUUGCAAUUGUUUCCAGAACAAAAAACCUCGCAUAGUUUCGGUUGUGAUACAAAGUGUCAAGAAUCUUUAUCACUGAAUCCGU